Molecule: ribosomal RNA, 306 nt
Filed under: uncultured bacterium
Lineage: Bacteria
Description: partial 16S ribosomal RNA
Rfam family: Bacterial small subunit ribosomal RNA
Source: RNAcentral
GACAGCAGUAGCCGCGGUAAUACGGAGGGGGCUAGCGUUGUUCGGAAUUACUGGGCGUAAAGCGCACGUAGGCGGCUUGGUAAGUUAGAGGUGAAAGCCUGGAGCUCAACUCCAGAAUUGCCUUUAAGACUGCCGAGCUAGCAGGUGAGAGAGGUAAGUGGAAUUCCGAGUGUAGAGGUGAAAUUCGUAGAUAUUCGGAAGAACACCGGUGGCGAAGGCGGCGACCUGGUUCAUAACUGACGCUGAGGCGCGAAAGCGUGGGGAGCAAACAGGUUUAGAUACCCCCGUAGUCCCUGUCUCUUAUAC